GAUUGUGGUUUCACUCAUUGUGAGCAUAAUACAGUCAAAAUCAAGUCCUGUUGCUACUAAUGGAAGAGUGGUGACCAUUUGCUUAAGUCGGCAAUGGAAAUAAAUGGAACUGGCAAGCGUUGUUUAGAGGAGAGGUGAGCAAGAAUCUUCCCAGUCCAACCAAGUUUACCUAUUUCAGCAGAGAAGAGAAAAUACAGUUAAAAGGUGUUUACAAGCCAAGUCAACCCUGUGAUUUGCUACUUGUGUUCAUUUUUUGCUUGAGAGGCACACACCUAUAGCAGACUUUAAGUCGGCAUUCCACAGCCAUGAAGAAAUUUCUUGUUUGUAAACCAAAGAGGAAGAAUUAUAAGCCAGACACUUACAUCACCUGACAGAUGUGUUUCUCAAUCACGACAGAACCUAAAUUGGAGGACUGUCUCGUCUAAGCACAGAUCAAAAGGCCUACGAGCAGCCACACCAACGUAAA
This is a long non-coding RNA of Lacerta agilis (Sand lizard), 466 nucleotides long. RefSeq lists it as uncharacterized. NCBI's taxonomy places the organism in Eukaryota, Metazoa, Chordata, Lepidosauria, Squamata, Lacertidae. The transcript is spliced from 3 exons. The record is from RefSeq and is a predicted model, not a curated record.